Molecule: non-coding RNA, 30 nt
Filed under: Rattus norvegicus (Norway rat)
Lineage: Eukaryota; Metazoa; Chordata; Mammalia; Rodentia; Muridae
Source: RNAcentral
UNGAAUGUAACUCGGAGAGCAGUGUCGACU